AGGAUGCCAAUGUGUGAUCCCAAUGCUAAUGCAUAUGAUGAGAUUACAUGAGAGAUCUUAGGGCCAAAAUUGGGGUCUUACACAAUGAUUUUAAUCCAACAAAAGUCAAAUCAACCUUAACCAAGGCCCAAACAAAUAGUCAAACAUCACAAGACUAUAAAAAUGGCUCAACAUAAUUUUUACACAAUUAAAUAAAAUCAAUU
RNAcentral lists this long non-coding RNA (203 nucleotides) under Lathyrus oleraceus (garden pea). RNAcentral's name for it is "Pisum sativum (pea) long non-coding RNA (PSAT_LNC017618)". The record is from RNAcentral. Lineage: Eukaryota; Viridiplantae; Streptophyta; Magnoliopsida; Fabales; Fabaceae.